GUCCUCUUUGGCUGUGGCUCUCAACAAAUAGCUUUCCUUUGCCACUUGUUCCCACCAUGAUAUACUGUGCUGACCCAGGUCCAAGUAACAGAUCUAUGAUCAAGGACUGAAGUCCAUAACUUUCUGAAGGCUGGGAUGCUCAUGAUCGAAGUGGCAGAAUUUAGAGUCUGGAGACUCUCUGCAGCAUCCUCACUCCCAACAGCACUUCUCUGAAGAAACCUUUGAAAUCUAGGUGUUGGAGAUUGGGCUGGAUGCCGAUGAACUUCCUACUCUCCACAGUUGCUGCUAACUCAAGUGAUAGAAAUGUCCCAAGAGUGCAGACCAGUGUGCCUAUGCCAAUUCAAGG
Ictidomys tridecemlineatus (thirteen-lined ground squirrel) is the source of this 346-nucleotide non-coding RNA. The record is from RefSeq and is a predicted model, not a curated record. NCBI's taxonomy places the organism in Eukaryota, Metazoa, Chordata, Mammalia, Rodentia, Sciuridae.